AACCAUAUGCACCACAAUAAGAUCGAUCACCCAAUGGACCUCUAACUCAAAUAAGCUUACCAUUGUUUCAUCUAUUUGCGUAUCUUAUGCAGGAUAAUAAAUGAAUGAAUGGUUUUUUAUCUCUCGGACAAUUACAUCGAAGAUCUAGAGAAACUCUUAAAAGAAGGAAGUUUGCAAGAACGAGGGACAUUUUUUAAUCACCA
This 203-nucleotide long non-coding RNA is filed under the name Sorghum bicolor (sorghum). Its description in RNAcentral is "long non-coding RNA (SBIC_LNC005124)". The record is from RNAcentral. Lineage: Eukaryota; Viridiplantae; Streptophyta; Magnoliopsida; Poales; Poaceae.